UCCACGCCGUAAACGAUGAGUGCUAGAUAUCGGGAGAUUUUCUUUCGGUUUCGCAGCUAACGCAUUAAGCACUCCGCCUGGGGAGUACGGUCGCAAGAUUAAAACUCAAAGGAAUUGACGGGGGCUCGCACAAGCGGUGGAGCAUGCGGUUUAAUUCGAUGUUACGCGAAAAACCUUACCAACCCUUGACAUGGUGGUCGCGGAUUGCAGAGAUGCUCUCCUUCAGUUCGGCUGGACCACACACAGGUGUUGCAUGGCUGUCGUCAGCUCGUGUCGUGAGAUGUUGGGUUAAGUCCCGCAACGAGCGCAACCCUUAUCCUUAUUUGCCAGUGGGUAAUGCCAGGAACUAUAAGGAAACUGCCGGUGAUAAGCCGGAGGAAGGUGGGGACGACGUCAAGUCAUCAUGGCCCUUACGGGUUGGGCUACACGCGUGCUACAAUGGUGUUUACAGAGGGAAGCAAUACGGUGACGUGGAGCAAAUCCCUAAAAGACAUCUCAGUUCGGAUUGUUCUCUGCAACUCGAGAGCAUGAAGUUGGAAUCGCUAGUAAUCGCGGAUCAGCAUGCCGCGGUGAAUACGUUCUCGGGCCUUGUACACACUGCCCGUCACGCCAUGGGAGUUGGUUUUACCUGAAGGUGGUGAGCUAACGCAAGAGGCAGCCAACCACGGU
This 669-nucleotide ribosomal RNA is filed under the name uncultured Rickettsia sp. Its description in RNAcentral is "bacterial SSU rRNA". It matches the Rfam family "Bacterial small subunit ribosomal RNA", at positions 794 to 1463 of the family's 1533-position model. Lineage: Bacteria; Pseudomonadati; Pseudomonadota; Alphaproteobacteria; Rickettsiales; Rickettsiaceae. The record is from RNAcentral.